GACGAACGCUGGCGGCGUGCCUAAUACAUGAAAGUAGAACGCUGAAGGAGGAGCUUGCUCUUCUGGAUGAGUUGCGAACGGGUGAGUAACGCGUAGGUAACCUGCCUGGUAGCGGGGGAUAACUAUUGGAAACGAUAGCUAAUACCGCAUAAGAGUAGAUGUUGCAUGACAUUUACUUAAAAGGUGCAAUUGCAUCACUACCAGAUGGACCUGCGUUGUAUUAGCUAGUUGGUGGGGUAACGGCUUACCAAGGCGACGAUACAUAGCCGACCUGAGAGGGUGAUCGGCCACACUGGGACUGAGACACGGCCCAGACUCCUACGGGAGGCAGCAGUAGGGAAUCUUCGGCAAUGGACGGAAGUCUGACCGAGCAACGCCGCGUGAGUGAAGAAGGUUUUCGGAUCGUAAAGCUCUGUUGUAAGAGAAGAACGAGUGUGAGAGUGGAAAGUUCACACUGUGACGGUAUCUUACCAGAAAGGGACGGCUAACUACGUG
RNAcentral lists this ribosomal RNA (495 nucleotides) under uncultured bacterium. RNAcentral describes it as "partial 16S ribosomal RNA". It matches the Rfam family "Bacterial small subunit ribosomal RNA", at positions 28 to 507 of the family's 1533-position model. The record is from RNAcentral.